AUUGAACGCUGGCGGCAUGCUUUACACAUGCAAGUCGAACGGCAGCGCGGGCUUCGGCCUGGCGGCGAGUGGCGAACGGGUGAGUAAUACAUCGGAACGUGCCCAGUAGUGGGGGAUAGCUCUGCGAAAGCCGGAUUAAUACCGCAUACGACCUGAGGGUGAAAGCGGGGGAUCUUCGGACCUCGCGCUAUUGGAGCGGCCGAUGGCAGAUUAGCUAGUUGGUGGGGUAAAGGCCUACCAAGGCGACGAUCUGUAGCUGGUCUGAGAGGACGACCAGCCACACUGGGACUGAGGCACGGCCCAGACUCCUACGGGAGGCAGCAGUGGGGAAUUUUGGACAAUGGGCGAAAGCCUGAUCCAGCAAUGCCGCGUGUGUGAUGAAGGCCUUCGGGUUGUAAAGCACUUUGGGCGGGAACGAAAAGGACUGUGCCAAUACCACGGUUCGAUGACGGUACCCGCAGAAUAAGCACCGGCUAACUACGUG
This 484-nucleotide ribosomal RNA is filed under the name uncultured bacterium. RNAcentral's name for it is "partial 16S ribosomal RNA". It matches the Rfam family "Bacterial small subunit ribosomal RNA", at positions 29 to 507 of the family's 1533-position model. The record is from RNAcentral.